GUGGGUCCUAAAUGCUUCAUAUGUCAAAGACAAAGGCAAUGUGUUGUUUCCUGAUGGAUGCAUUACUUCAGAGGGAGAGUGUCCUGGACCUUGGAGCUGGUAAUGGUAUCUCCAGAGAGGCUCCUCUCUGGCAUAGCUGGAGGAGAGUAAUGUAUCAGCAGACCAUAUCAAAGCCUAGCACAAGGCUUUGGGCAGUGAAUGGAGCUCAUUAAACUCACUGUAACUGACAGCUGGAUAUUUCAGAGAGAAAAAGUCUGAAGAACCCCCUGGCAUUGGCCAUGUUUUAUAGAUCUUUUGGAUUGCAGAAAGACAAAUAAAAAACAUUCAUAGGAAGGUGUCAUGAGAAUGGGAAAGGAAAGGAGAGCUCAAAUAAUGGUCUCCUCUGCUUGGCAGUGAAGAAGCAGAGCUUCUGAUUUUUCCAGGAAGAUAUUAUAAAGCCAACAUCAUCUAAUGACUUCUGCAGUCUGAGUCAUUUCAGAGAACAACCACUUGGCAGUUCAGUUCAUUUGCAGUGGAGAUGCCGGGACCGUCACGAUCAGUGAAUGAAUGCCAGCAAUGUUUUGGAUGGGUUCCUGCUUCCAGUUGGCAUCUGGUCUCCUGUCUGUGUCUCUGCUCGAUCUCUGCUGCAUAUGAGCAAGGCAUUGAGCUGUUACUCACUUUUAAAACUGGUUCCCUUUGGCACCAGUUGUACUUCAGCUGACUCCUGCAAACAAACAAAACAUUCUUCAAAGAUUUGUGUAAGUUUGGAAGGAGUCUCACAUUUCUCACUGCCUGCACUUUGAAAAUAACAACACUGCUGUAUUUCCCCUUACCUGAACACACACAGACUUUACCUCUUCUGAAGCUGACAGGGGUUUCCUACAUCUGAUCCCAUGUAUUCCCCUCUUCACGAGAGUAUAUGAAUGUUACAUAUUUGUUGCAGUGCUGUAUAGUAGCUUCUCUUCCUUGUGGAAAAAGACUAUGAAAUGGGGUGACAAUUUUAUAUGUAAUCUGAUAAUUUCAACACAAAUUCUAAAAUUGGUGUGAAUGGAGAAUGAAUGGGAAUUCCCAGGUGUGCAGCCACCUUAUGGAGUCCACAGCAAGGAGAGGGGGCUCCCAGAAUGGCCUCUGUUAAUGGCAUCUGGAUUAGCAGUUCAUCAGGACCCCAUCACAUCCACCUGCAGUUUCACAACAUGCUUGGAAAAUCCAGCUUGUGGAAAGGAGACCAGUGCUACACAGUCCUGGGUGGUGGUCCCCAAGUGCCUCUUGUGUGAGGUAAUCGAAGGCUCUGGGAAGGCAGCUGGUGGGAGGUCAUGCACUAAAACACAGGCAAUUGCCCUGAAUGAUGCUUCCCUACACGAAACAACCGGGAGUGACCGGGCCACCUCUCGUGCAGAGCUGUGUCAUGCUGGCAGCAGGUGCUGUUUUACAAUGAGAUGAAGCCUGUGGGUCUCGUGGAUGCCCGGCAUGUUGCAGAGAAUGCUUGGGGAGCAACAGGAUUGGGCUCAGAGAUGCCUCCAGGUACCUCAGGAUGGUUCUGAGCCCCUCCACAGCUGCUCCCCAUGAGGAUCCCAGACCACAUCGGCUCACUGAAGGUUCAGCAACAAACUGCAAAAAGGUGAAGGUUCCUCCCUCCCUGUUCCCCUACAUCAGUGAAGUCACUUGCAGGGUCCUCAAGUCCCAAUGGAAGUGGUGUUGUCCCUGUGAAAUUUCUCUUUUUCAUUUUGGAGAUUAGCAGCCAGACCCUUCAAUGAGUUUUCUUUCUGUUGCUAUGGUUGUUUUAGUAUUAUAAUCUUUAAAAGUUGAUGGCCUAUCAAGGCCACCUUAAUGCUUCAGAGUACCUUUCCCAGCCAUAGCAUGGGGACAAUGUACCCUCUCUUUAGUCUGUCUACAGAGAAAGAAAAAUGUUCUGAAUUCAGUCCUUUAGCUUUGGGAACUGAUGGCUUCUAUGAUUAACUGCCUUUUGGGAAUUUGCU
Molecule: long non-coding RNA, 1955 nt
Organism: Cygnus olor (mute swan)
Lineage: Eukaryota; Metazoa; Chordata; Aves; Anseriformes; Anatidae
Exons: 10
Source: RefSeq, a predicted model, not a curated record